UACAGAGGUCCCAAGCGUUGUUCGGAUUCACUGGGCGUAAAGGGUGCGUAGGUGGUGAGGUAAGUCCGAUGUGAAAGCUCCGAGCUCAACUCGGAAAUUGUAUUAGAAACUACCUUGCUAGAGGGUUGGAGGGGGGACUGGAAUUCUCGGUGUAGCAGUGAAAUGCGUAGAUAUCGAGAGGAACACCAGUGGCGAAGGCGAGUCCCUGGACAACUCCUGACACUGAGGCACGAAAGCUAGGGGAGCAAACAGG
RNAcentral lists this ribosomal RNA (253 nucleotides) under uncultured bacterium. Its description in RNAcentral is "partial 16S ribosomal RNA". It matches the Rfam family "Bacterial small subunit ribosomal RNA", at positions 524 to 776 of the family's 1533-position model. The record is from RNAcentral.